CUUUAUUGGAGAGUUUGAUCCUGGCUCAGGACGAACGCUGGCGGCAUGCCUAAUACAUGCAAGUCGAGCGGACUUGAAGAGAAGCUUGCUUCUCUGAUGGUUAGCGGCGGACGGGUGAGUAACACGUAGGCAACCUGCCCUCAAGCUUGGGACAACUACCGGAAACGGUAGCUAAUACCGAAUACUUGCUUCCUUCGCCUGAAGGGAGCUGGAAAGACGGAGCAAUCUGUCACUUGAGGAUGGGCCUGCGGCGCAUUAGCUAGUUGGUGAGGUAACGGCUCACCAA
Molecule: ribosomal RNA, 286 nt
Filed under: Paenibacillus sp. 7523-1
Lineage: Bacteria; Bacillati; Bacillota; Bacilli; Caryophanales; Paenibacillaceae
Description: partial 16S ribosomal RNA
Rfam family: Bacterial small subunit ribosomal RNA
Source: RNAcentral